This 206-nucleotide ribosomal RNA is filed under the name uncultured bacterium. Its description in RNAcentral is "partial 16S ribosomal RNA". It matches the Rfam family "Bacterial small subunit ribosomal RNA", at positions 524 to 729 of the family's 1533-position model. The record is from RNAcentral.
UACGUAGGGUGCGAGCGUUGUCCGGAAUUAUUGGGCGUAAAGAGCUUGUAGGCGGUUUGUCGCGUCUGCCGUGAAAAUCCGGGGCUCAACCCCGGACUUGCGGUGGGUACGGGCAGACUAGAGUGUGGUAGGGGAGACUGGAAUUCCUGGUGUAGCGGUGAAAUGCGCAGAUAUCAGGAGGAACACCAGCGGCGAAGGCGGCGCUC